This 1458-nucleotide ribosomal RNA is filed under the name Enterobacter sp. RNAcentral describes it as "bacterial SSU rRNA". It matches the Rfam family "Bacterial small subunit ribosomal RNA". Lineage: Bacteria; Pseudomonadati; Pseudomonadota; Gammaproteobacteria; Enterobacterales; Enterobacteriaceae. The record is from RNAcentral.
AGAGUUUGAUCCUGGCUCAGAUUGAACGCUGGCGGCAGGCCUAACACAUGCAAGUCGAGCGGUAGCACAGAGAGCUUGCUCUCGGGUGACGAGCGGCGGACGGGUGAGUAAUGUCUGGGAAACUGCCUGAUGGAGGGGGAUAACUACUGGAAACGGUAGCUAAUACCGCAUAACGUCGCAAGACCAAAGUGGGGGACCUUCGGGCCUCAUGCCAUCAGAUGUGCCCAGAUGGGAUUAGCUAGUAGGUGGGGUAAUGGCUCACCUAGGCGACGAUCCCUAGCUGGUCUGAGAGGAUGACCAGCCACACUGGAACUGAGACACGGUCCAGACUCCUACGGGAGGCAGCAGUGGGGAAUAUUGCACAAUGGGCGCAAGCCUGAUGCAGCCAUGCCGCGUGUAUGAAGAAGGCCUUCGGGUUGUAAAGUACUUUCAGCGAGGAGGAAGGCAUUAAGGUUAAUAACCUUGGUGAUUGACGUUACUCGCAGAAGAAGCACCGGCUAACUCCGUGCCAGCAGCCGCGGUAAUACGGAGGGUGCAAGCGUUAAUCGGAAUUACUGGGCGUAAAGCGCACGCAGGCGGUCUGUCAAGUCGGAUGUGAAAUCCCCGGGCUCAACCUGGGAACUGCAUUCAAAACUGGCAGGCUAGAGUCUUGUAGAGGGGGGUAGAAUUCCAGGUGUAGCGGUGAAAUGCGUAGAGAUCUGGAGGAAUACCGGUGGCGAAGGCGGCCCCCUGGACAAAGACUGACGCUCAGGUGCGAAAGCGUGGGGAGCAAACAGGAUUAGAUACCCUGGUAGUCCACGCCGUAAACGAUGUCGACUUGGAGGUUGUGCCCUUGAGGCGUGGCUUCCGGAGCUAACGCGUUAAGUCGACCGCCUGGGGAGUACGGCCGCAAGGUUAAAACUCAAAUGAAUUGACGGGGGCCCGCACAAGCGGUGGAGCAUGUGGUUUAAUUCGAUGCAACGCGAAGAACCUUACCUACUCUUGACAUCCAGAGAACUUAGCAGAGAUGCUUUGGUGCCUUCGGGAACUCUGAGACAGGUGCUGCAUGGCUGUCGUCAGCUCGUGUUGUGAAAUGUUGGGUUAAGUCCCGCAACGAGCGCAACCCUUAUCCUUUGUUGCCAGCGGUCCGGCCGGGAACUCAAAGGAGACUGCCAGUGAUAAACUGGAGGAAGGUGGGGAUGACGUCAAGUCAUCAUGGCCCUUACGAGUAGGGCUACACACGUGCUACAAUGGCAUAUACAAAGAGAAGCGACCUCGCGAGAGCAAGCGGACCUCAUAAAGUAUGUCGUAGUCCGGAUUGGAGUCUGCAACUCGACUCCAUGAAGUCGGAAUCGCUAGUAAUCGUAGAUCAGAAUGCUACGGUGAAUACGUUCCCGGGCCUUGUACACACCGCCCGUCACACCAUGGGAGUGGGUUGCAAAAGAAGUAGGUAGCUUAACCUUCGGGAGGGCGCUUACC